CCUGGGCGGGUGUCGUCACGCGAGGCGGCCGGGCCUCACGUAGCGUCGCAGGUGCCGGCUGCCGCAGGGCCGCCGUGCCAGGAGUGUGAUGUCACGAGCAGCACCUGCUGAUGUCACGGCGUACAGACCCUGCAGGGCAGGGUUGGCAGGCUGCUGGUAGCCAGCCCGCGGGCCGGCCGGCCUGCCCCGUGGCGUGGCCGCGCCGGUGCCCUGGGCUUUUUGGUGGCAGGAUGGCACCAGGUGUACCAAACUGGGGAAAUUAUGGAGGGAUUUGAUGCUUAAAUCAUUGAAGGUGUUCCUGGUAGAGAGAAAUGACUUGUAGAUGAACAGAAUAACAACAAAGUAAGUCUGAGUUGAAGAGCUGAAAAAUUCUUUGUGAAAAUAUGUUAUAAGUAUGGUAGUUGUUGCAGGAAAUAGGCAGCUGCCACAUAGUCCAUGUUAGGAAUUAUGUGGAUUAUGUGGAUGCCCCCUCAGCAGGGCUCAGCCCUGGGUUUCUGCUUGAAGAAGACGAGUUGCUAGUCUGCUGAAUAAAUAAGUGGUUUAUUUAGCUGACAUGCAAAGCAGCUUGAGCUGGGUGCCUCUGAAGAUGGAUCCCUACUGCAGAUUGUGCACCCCUAUUACACCCUUACAGAUUUCCCAGAAUGUACCACUCAUCACCCAAUCCCCAAAUCUAAUCACUUAAUUCUGGUGGGUGGCCUCUUGAUUUCUUAUUGGUUUUCUUGAUCACUGGGCUGGCCUUGUUCUAAAAUUACCUUAUUCCCUUGGAAUUGUUCGUUGGUCCUUUUCUUCUUCAUUCUGCUUGCAUCUGCUGGUUUCAGUUUUGUAUUUGCAACAUUAGCUUUAUCAAAAAGUUUACUCUUGGUCAGCUCUUGCAGCCUAAGGCUUCCACUACUUUAGUUUCUAAUGCUAAGCAAGGCUAUUAAUCCUGACAAUUCUCAACAGCAGUGGUAACUUACCUGCUUCUGCUGUCUGCGUGUUGAGGCUUCUCAACUCUCAAAGCCAUAGAAAUCUUCCAGCAAAAGGGGGGAAAAAACCAAAGAAACCAAACCUAGAAGCUUGAGGUUUUUUCCUCUGUGUAUAAGUACUUAAAAUUUGUUUGUAAUGAGAAAUAACAUAUUUCAGUGGCUACUGCUAAAUUGUGCUGGUACAGUGUUUCCAAAUUGUUGUUUAAUUACCAUCUCCAGUGCUGUGUUAUUGGAACCCUCAGUACUCCCUGAAACAGCCUAUUUAUAUAAAUGGUUAGCUUAAUAAUUGGCAAAUAACUAGUUUCUUGAUGAACCCUUCCCAGUUUGUUUUAAAUACUACUGCCUGUGGUACUGUUUUCUGGCAGGGAGAUGAAAGUCAAAUAGUUAUUAUCUACUGAUUUUUUUUGUCUGUCUUUCUGUGGUUUGCUUACAUUGAGCCUUAAAUGUGAAACUCAACAAGGAGAAUAGAAGAAAUCAAAGUGUGACUUCAACAUUACCUGACAACUGUGGCAUCUGUUUAUUUUUAUAGCCAGACCUUCUUAUCUUCUUAUUUCAAUUGAAUGUUCUACUUGGGACUGGUGGAUCCAGGUGCCAGACCUCAAUCUAGUGAGCAUUAAUCUGUGCUAGCAGUGUUAUAACAUUAACUUUUUACUCUUGCAGUAUUUUUAACUACCUUUCAUUUGUUUGCUUAGAAAGCUUUUUUACUCUGAUCUUCACUGAAGUUUUCUUGCAAGUGAGCUAAAACCAGAUCCUUUGGUAUCUGUCUUGGCUUUAGCAGAACCUUGUCUGACUGACUUAGAGUAAAAUCAGUCUGCAUAUAAUUGGGGAUUUGUGUGUAUGUUCAUAUGGGCACAUGCAGCCUGGAAGGGGGAAGCUCUUUAGCAUAAUUAAGCAUUAAGUCUGGAUUUGUACAGUUCUUAGUGCUGUUGACAGUAAUGGUUAUGUUUAUUCUGAAUACUAGUAAGAAUUUAAUAACUUCAGUGCAAGUGGUGUUUCUUUGUCCGUUAUUUUAAUGAAUCUGUCUUGCUGCAUUUGUGGUAGUGCUAUCAGGGUGUUCAAGGCUUUGAAGUCAUGCAGUGUAGAUAUGGUAGGGGAAGUGUGUAUUUCACAGAUGAAAGGGAAGAGGUGUGACUAAGGUGGGGAGGUGUUAAGAGAUAAGCACCUGAGAGAAGAUGCAGGAUAAACCCAGAGCUUGUCUUAAGGCAAUGAUAAAAUUUUGUUGUGCAGCAAUAACGGUCUAGACCAAGUAACAAAUAAUGCAGGCUUACUCUUUUUAUUUUUUAUUGCCUUCACUUAACUAGCAAGCGAUGAUUGUGUCUGAUCAAACGUAGGGUGAUACAGUCCAUGUGUACCUAGAUAGCUUUACUAGUGAAAUCUCCAAGGCUGGAGAGUUGGGUUUUGUGUUCUGGUCCUUAAAAUACUGAAUAAAACAAGACUGGAAUAAUUGGAUGACUGAUAUGUCCAGGUAUCAGCAGAGAUUAUUUUUUUUAGCUUAACUUCUACAGUUUGGGGUACUGAAAUGCAAACGAAUUCAGUGAAAACUUGUUCUAAUAGCAUCUUGAUCCAGACUGGAGACUUGAUUAGGAGAGGAGGUAGUCCAGUGCUAACAGCUGUGAGCGAGAGGAAAAGGAAGCACAGAAAUCUGCUGUCAUUUCUUGAAAAGAAGGUGAAAUAAGAUAAUUUUUUAUAUUCCCCCCCCCCCAUUUGAUAAAAAUCUCUUUGGUUAGGCUACAAAAUGGCAUAUGGAAUUAUACUCUAGUUAAUC
Molecule: long non-coding RNA, 2730 nt
Organism: Haliaeetus leucocephalus (bald eagle)
Lineage: Eukaryota; Metazoa; Chordata; Aves; Accipitriformes; Accipitridae
Exons: 3
Source: RefSeq, a predicted model, not a curated record